Molecule: long non-coding RNA, 1015 nt
Filed under: Bemisia tabaci
Lineage: Eukaryota; Metazoa; Arthropoda; Insecta; Hemiptera; Aleyrodidae
Description: lncRNA ENSSSA1UGG007913
Source: RNAcentral
AUUCGGCAAAUGAGUGAUUACACGAAAGUUUUUAAUUGUUUUACGUGGAGAUGCGAUCAUCUGCACGAUAAGGCACACGUUUUACGCUCUCUCACUUUCUCUUAGUUAAUUGAACAUCUUAUCAACAUUGAUUUCGUCGCACCCGUCGCGUCGCGUUAUCAGCUUUAUCUGAUAAAUUCAGCAUCUGCUGUACGAAUCUCAUAGUAAAAAGUCUCAGGUGUGGAAAUCGUUUGAUUGAAUCAGUCAUUAUUGAACCUUUGUGUAAAUUUUUCAAUUUCGUUAAUUGAUUAUUGCAGUGGAAAUGGCGGAUUUUCGUCCUGACAUGAUCUACUUUGAUGAGCGCGGAUACGAAAAACAUCUCUAUUCAAUUGAAAACGUUUACCUUGAUGACCUGGAUAAAUUUCCAGCACUCGCUGAUGAGCCGAGAGCCUCAAACGAGGAAGCGGACGAGGAACUGGCGCACGUUUACCGGAAUGUUAGAGAUGCUAUUUAUUAUUACGAAGUCACAAGCGAUUCACCCUCUUUCUUGCUAAAAGAAAAGACCGCGAAAAUCAGGAAGGUGGUUUACAAAAAUCUUGGAAUACCAAAGGAUCUUCGGACAACCAAUUACAACAGUAAGGCCUUUUUGGCGGCAAAACGAAUCCGCUCUCGUUUGCUUGUAGUGGGAUACGUGGAAGUCCGCCCUGUCACCUCAGGCUAUUGGUACGUGAGGGAUCCUGAUUUCAUCAAUGACCCUUUACCGUGUGUGAGUGCCGAGAGUGUCGCAGUCAAGUGCGGUAUCUCCGCCAUAUGGGUCAAGCAAAGCUUCCGCAGGCGAGAAAUUGCGACUACCCUUUUAAACUUGGUCAAAGAGCGUAUGUUUGAUGAAGAGCUCACUUGGCAGGACAUCGCAUUCGCUCACAUCCACUUCUCCGGGAAGCGAUUUGUCCAAAGUUUCUUCCGUAAACAAAUGGGUCCUGAAGAGGAUGCGGACAAGAGAUCGACUCCUGCAGAAAACGCGGAGAGAGAGGAUUGA